GAUGAACGCUGGCGGCGUGCUUAACACAUGCAAGUCGAACGAAGCACUCUAUUUGAUUUUUUUCGGAAAUGAAGAUUUUGUGACUGAGUGGCGGACGGGUGAGUAACGCGUGGGUAACCUGCCUCAUACAGGGGGAUAACAGUUGGAAACGACUGCUAAUACCGCAUAAGCGCACGGUAUCGCAUGGUACAGUGUGAAAAACUCCGGUGGUAUGAGAUGGACCCGCGUCUGAUUAGCUUGUUGGUGGGGCAACGGCCUACCAAGGCGACGAUCAGUAGCCGACCUGAGAGGGUGAACGGCCACAUUGGGACUGAGACACGGCCCAAACGCCUACGGGAGGCAGCAGUGGGGAAUAUUGCACAAUGGGGGAAACCCUGAUGCAGCGACGCCGCGUGAACGAAGAAGUAUUUCGGUAUGUAAAGUUCUAUCAGCAGGGAAGAUAAUGACGGUACCUGACUAAGAAGCACCGGCUAAAUACGUGCCAGCCGCCGCGGUAA
This 497-nucleotide ribosomal RNA is filed under the name uncultured bacterium. RNAcentral describes it as "partial 16S ribosomal RNA". It matches the Rfam family "Bacterial small subunit ribosomal RNA", at positions 28 to 523 of the family's 1533-position model. The record is from RNAcentral.